RNAcentral lists this ribosomal RNA (251 nucleotides) under uncultured prokaryote. RNAcentral describes it as "partial 16S ribosomal RNA". It matches the Rfam family "Bacterial small subunit ribosomal RNA", at positions 525 to 775 of the family's 1533-position model. The record is from RNAcentral.
ACGUAGGGUCCGAGCGUUGUCCGGAAUUACUGGGCGUAAAGCGCGCGCAGGCGGUCUGGUCAGUCGAUGGUGAAAGCCCCACGCUCAACGUGGGAAGGUCCGUCGAGACGGCCAGACUGGAGGCAGGGAGAGGUCGGUGGAAUUCCGGGUGUAGUGGUGAAAUGCGUAGAGAUCCGGAGGAACACCAGUGGCGAAGGCGAUUCGCUGGGCCUACUCUGACGCUCAGACGCGACAGCAUGGGGAGCGAACGG